Molecule: ribosomal RNA, 492 nt
Filed under: uncultured bacterium
Lineage: Bacteria
Description: partial 16S ribosomal RNA
Rfam family: Bacterial small subunit ribosomal RNA
Source: RNAcentral
AGUGAACGCUGGCGGUAGGCCUAACACAUGCAAGUCGAACGACAGCACAGUAAGAGCUUGCUCUUACGGGUGGCGAGUGGCGGACGGGUGAGGCAUACAUCGGAAUCUACUUUUUCGUGGGGGAUAACGUAGGGAAACUUACGCUAAUACCGCAUACGACCUACGGGUGAAAGCAGGGGAUCUUCGGACCUUGCGCGAUUGAAUGAGCCGAUGUCGGAUUAGCUAGUUGGCGGGGUAAAGGCCCACCAAGGCGACGAUCCGUAGCUGGUCUGAGAGGAUGAUCAGCCACACUGGAACUGAGACACGGUCCAGACUCCUACGGGAGGCAGCAGUGGGGAAUAUUGGACAAUGGGCGCAAGCCUGAUCCAGCCAUACCGCGUGGGUGAAGAAGGCCUUCGGGUUGUAAAGCCCUUUUGUUGGGAAAGAAAAGCAGCAGGUUAAUACCCCGCUGUUCUGACGGUACCCAAAGAAUAAGCACCGGCUAACUUCGUG